AGUAAAUCUAAUUUUUAAGAAUUAUUCAAUAAAGGUACAGCUUUAUUGAAAAAGGAAACAACCUAAACCUUAGGAUAAUGAAUAUUUUUAAAUAGGUAAAAGGCCAAGUUGGCCUAAAAGCAGCCAUCUUUAAAGAUAGCGUCAAAGCUUCACCUUAAACACACCUUAAAUCUCAUUAUUUUUUCAUAAUCCAACAAUUCUACUAAGCCAUUCUAUACUUUUAUAGAAAAGUUUAUGUUAGGACUAGUAACACAGAAUAAUUUCUCUUACAUGUAAGUUUAAAUCAACCCGAAUACCUCCUUGAUAAUUACUCAAAUUUGAACCUUAAGUAGUACCUAUUAAUUACAAAAACCCUACUUAACUUAUUGUUAAUCAAACAUAUGGAUAUGAAAGAAAGAUUAAAAAAUUAAGAAGGAACUCGGCAAACACAAGUCCCGCCUGUUUACCAAAAACAUCGCCUUUUGAAAAGUAUAAAAGGUAACGCCUGCCCACUGACAGUAUGUUUAACGGCCGCGGUAUUCUGACCGUGCGAAGGUAGCGUAAUCACUUGUCUUUUAAAUGAAGACUCGUAUGAAAGGCAUCACGAGAACUUAGCUGUCUCCUUAAUUCAAUCAGUGAAACUGAUACCCCUGUAAAAAAGCAGGGAUGAUUACAUAAGACGAGAAGACCCUGUGGAGCUUAAAACAUAAGCUACUUCUAUACUCUACUAACUUAUAGUACUAAAAUACAAACCUAGCCUAAGUUUUCUGUUGGGGCGGCUGUGGAGAAAAACUUAUCCUCCAUGAAGAAAAAACUUUGAUCUACCGCUCUUAGUAUUAGCAAGCCUAACUUAAAUUGAUCCAAUUUUUGAUCAACGGACCAAGUUACCCCAGGGAUAACAGCGCAAUCCAUUUCAAGAGUCCCUAUCGACAAAUGGGUUUACGACCUCG
This 929-nucleotide ribosomal RNA is filed under the name Leptobrachium hendricksoni (spotted litter frog). Its description in RNAcentral is "partial 16S ribosomal RNA". It matches the Rfam family "Bacterial large subunit ribosomal RNA", at positions 963 to 2528 of the family's 2925-position model. The record is from RNAcentral. Lineage: Eukaryota; Metazoa; Chordata; Amphibia; Anura; Megophryidae.